Molecule: ribosomal RNA, 253 nt
Filed under: uncultured bacterium
Lineage: Bacteria
Description: partial 16S ribosomal RNA
Rfam family: Bacterial small subunit ribosomal RNA
Source: RNAcentral
UACGGGGGGAGCAAGCGUUGUUCGGAUUUACUGGGCGUAAAGGGCGCGUAGGCGGCCUUCUAAGUCGAACGUGAAAUCCCCGGGCUCAACCCGGGAACUGCGUCCGAUACUGGAAGGCUUGAAUCCGGGAGAGGGAUGCGGAAUUCCAGGUGUAGCGGUGAAAUGCGUAGAUAUCUGGAGGAACACCGGUGGCGAAGGCGGCAUCCUGGACCGGUAUUGACGCUGAGGCGCGAAAGCCAGGGGAGCAAACGGG